Molecule: non-coding RNA, 534 nt
Organism: Bemisia tabaci
Lineage: Eukaryota; Metazoa; Arthropoda; Insecta; Hemiptera; Aleyrodidae
Source: RefSeq, a predicted model, not a curated record
UAUAGAUCACAAAUUCGAAAGUGUCCACGCAUAAGCGAAGGAUGGCUUCCUUCAGGGGAGCAAGAUUGUCUGGUGUAAGAAUGUCAAAAUUAUUGCGCACAAAUAACUGAACAAGAUCCUGGUCGUCUUCAACAACAGGUUUCCUGAACUUUGAAUUUUUCGUCUCCCUGACUUUUCCUGAUUCUCUUUGACCUUUUCUUCCAAAUCAACAGAAACGCAAAAAUAAAUACAGCUCAGCGCAGAGUAAUGGAACAGAUUGGUAGAGAACUGGAGGCUACAAUUUCCAGAGGAGAAAUUUACUACAGCACAGCAAAGCUCAAUAUGGAGGCAAAUUAUGCAAAAAUCACAAUCUUGCACAGGAGUUCGCAACUCUACUGGCUCUGCGUUUUCCUUCUUUUAUUUCUCCCCAAUCAAUUUCAUCUCCCUGAUUAUCCCAGGCACUUGACACCUUGAAACCAUGACCAGUCUGAUGGUUUAUUACCAUGUGGUAAAUUCCAUACACUAAAGAAAAAAAUAGAAAAACUUUCCUAUUCA